CCUGUGGAAGCCCUCAUCCCAGCCCACACAUCACCUCUCUGAGCAAAGUGGUUGUGUUCGUGGAUCUACGCUCCUUCCAGGACUUCAAUGUGUAUGGAAAUGACAAAGGCCAAAGGAAGGAAAAUGCUUGCAUGCACUGACAUGAUUCCAAGAAGACAUAUAGACAGUAUUUACAAAUGAAUCUGUGUGUUCCUCACCACCCACACAUGUGGAUGGACUUUUUCCAGAGCAAAACAAGGAUUACUUUCCAAUGGUUAAAAAAGAGAAAAUGAUUUAACAACAUAAUGCUAUGCAUUGUCUGGAAGGCAGGAGAUGUAACUGAAGGCCAAGGACUGGUAAGUCAUGCAGGGGAUGGUCUGUGUUUCUGCUCUCCUUCCCCUCGGCCUUCUCCAACCUCCAGGCCCCUCAGAGUCUCACAGGCUGCUUCCUGCAAAGGGAACUCUCAAAGCAUGGAGCCCUGCAGAUGAGAUUCCUGUCUUUCAUAUCUUAAGAAGAGUCUGACUGAGAGGUUUGAGCUCUCACUGGACCUCCACGUGUUCAGAGGGAAGGGCAUUUUGAGCUUUGAAUCUUGUGGCUCCAUUAAAUGAAAUGAUCACGGGCAUGGUAAGAGGUAAGACGUUGUCCCCUGGUGCUUCCCUCAGUGGAAAAAUGGAGUUUCCCCCUUUAGCUAGGAGCUAUCCUAUGUGUCAUAGUGGCUCACCUUCACUUGUCCAUGUUAUAGAUGAGCAGACUGAGGUGAUUGAAGCUAGCCCUAUGGGAUGUGCCCAAGGCCACACAGCUAGUACGUGGCAGGGCCAGAACUCAGAUCCAGCUCUUCUUUCACAAUUCAACUUAAGGUGACCUUCUUGUCUCAGUUUGCCCAGGAUUUUUCCAUCUUUAGGACCAGGAGUUCUGUGUUCCAGGAACCCCCUCAGUCCCAGCACCCUGGGACAGUUAAUCACCUGAAGUCCGGGUCUCAUUCCGUAAGUCAGCAUCAUUUAGCUUUGCCGGUCACGGUGGGGCUGUAGAUCUAUGGGAGCCAGAAAUGAUUUGCCCCUGGUUCUUCCGAAGGGAGAAAUGAUUCAAGCCCCCAGCGCUGGGAGGACCCUUUGGCAGGCAGGACAACUGAGCAAACUCAACAGGAAGACCAGGGGGUCAGCUCUCUGCUGACUUCAGAUCCGUUUCCCUGAGUGUGUGACCUCCAUCACAGAGCACGCUGUAACCUGCUCUUAGGUAAACAGGUAGAGAAAAAGGCAACUCUUCCUUUCCGGAUGAACGCCCCUCCCUGUGUGCUCAUCAUCCCUUCCACACGGAGACAGCAUGUGAUGUGUGGUGUCAGAGGGCAGGGCAGGAAACACCACCCUCAUUUCUCCAGGUGAGGAAACUGAGGCACAGAGAAGUCGUGCAGCCGGCGAAUGUCAAAAUUAGACCCAAAACCAAGUCUUUUAAGGUUUUAAAUGUAGUGUUUAUGGACUCCUGAAUGUCCACAGAUGGACAUCACAGGGAAAGCUAGUGUGCUCUGGACUUUUUGGGAGAUUAUCCCAGAUAUUUCACCAAUUUCUCAAAGGAAUGAAUCUGACGUCUCAGGUCUAUAGUGCAUGAUUAACUUUUUCUGUUUAAACAUUGAUGGUGCUACAAGAAAAUCUUUACUGAUGGCACUUAAAAUGUGCUUCAAGAAUAUUAGGCAAAAUGAUUAAUUUCACUUUGGUUCAGGUGGCCACGUUCAACUUUUUUCUUUCUUCCUAUUUGAUAAUUCUUCAAUAUUUCUGAAACACUAUGCUCAGACUCUUUUCUUCCGGGACCAUAUUUUAUUUAAUCCUCAACACAGGUAGGUGCACAUACUGAAAGAAAAAGGCCCAUAGAAUUCAACUCUCCAAUAGCCAGGGUUGCCUGCCUCCAACCCUU
Long non-coding RNA from Manis pentadactyla (Chinese pangolin), 1884 nucleotides. RefSeq lists it as uncharacterized. The record is from RefSeq and is a predicted model, not a curated record. NCBI's taxonomy places the organism in Eukaryota, Metazoa, Chordata, Mammalia, Pholidota, Manidae. The transcript is spliced from 3 exons.